This 362-nucleotide long non-coding RNA is filed under the name Lathyrus oleraceus (garden pea). RNAcentral's name for it is "Pisum sativum (pea) long non-coding RNA (PSAT_LNC026122)". Lineage: Eukaryota; Viridiplantae; Streptophyta; Magnoliopsida; Fabales; Fabaceae. The record is from RNAcentral.
UGUUCUUUGUGGUAUUCUACCUAGUAACCGGUAGUUAUAAUUCAUACUUUCCCCCUGCUAAGUCUAUCCUUGAUAUGUUCAUCCUAACCGAUGACAGAUAUUUUCUCUUUGGUAUUCUGCCUAGUAACUGGUAGAUAUAAUUCCUAUUUUUCCCCGGCAGUAUAUCCUUGAUAUGUUUACCCUAACCGGUAACAGAUAUUCUUCCUCUUUCCCCAGGUGGUUUAACCUUGGUAUGUUCAUCCCAACCAACGAGGGAUAUUCUUCCUUUGAGUUUAUCCUUGAUAUGUUGACUUUAACCUGUGACAGAUACUCUCUUUGUUGGUCUUCUGCCCAAUAACCGGUAGUUGUAAAUCCUAUUUGAU